Molecule: ribosomal RNA, 293 nt
Filed under: uncultured bacterium
Lineage: Bacteria
Description: partial 16S ribosomal RNA
Rfam family: Bacterial small subunit ribosomal RNA
Source: RNAcentral
GGAUUAGAUACCCUGGUAGUCCACGCCGUAAACGUUGGAUACUAGGUGUGGGAGGUUUUCUACCCCUUCUGUGCCGCAGCUAACGCAUUAAGUAUCCCGCCUGGGGAGUACGACCGCAAGGUUGAAACUCAAAGGAAUUGACGGGGGCCCGCACAAGCGGUGGAGCAUGCGGUUUAAUUCGACAACGCGAAGAACCUUACCCGGGCUUGACAUCACCGUAAGGUACCGUGGCUCCUUGGAAACAGGGAGUCUUAGGGAGACAGGUGUUGCAUGGCUGUCGUCAGCUCGUGCUG